This 62-nucleotide small RNA is filed under the name Caenorhabditis elegans. RNAcentral's name for it is "Unclassified non-coding RNA F57G12.16". The record is from RNAcentral. Lineage: Eukaryota; Metazoa; Nematoda; Chromadorea; Rhabditida; Rhabditidae.
CUUAAAAAAUUCAAUACGUUGUAGAUUAAAGAUAAAAAGCAGUCCACAUGGGCUGCUAUAAA